Molecule: ribosomal RNA, 500 nt
Filed under: uncultured bacterium
Lineage: Bacteria
Description: bacterial SSU rRNA
Rfam family: Bacterial small subunit ribosomal RNA
Source: RNAcentral
UCGGGAGUCUUGCACAAUGGGGGCAACCCUGAUGCAGCAACGCCGCGUGCGGGAUGAAGUCCUUCGGAACGUAAACCGCUUUUGUCCGGNAAGAAGCACUGACGGUACCGGNCGAAUAAGCCCCGGCUAACUACGUGCCANCANCCGCGGUAAAANGUAGGGGGCGAGCGUUGCCCGGAUUUACUGGGCGUAAAGCGCGCGUAGGCGGCUGCGUAAGUGGGGAGUUAAAGCCCUCGGCUCAACCGAGGAAAUGCUCCCCANACUGCGCGGCUUGAGUGUAGGAGAGGGGAGUGGAAUUCCCGGUGUAGCGGUGAAAUGCGUUGAUAUCGGGAGGAACACCGGUGGCGAAGGCGGCUCCCUGGCCUACUACUGACGCUGAGGCGCGAAAGCGUGGGGAGCGAACGGGAUUAGAUACCCCGGUAGUCCACGCCGUAAACGAUGAGCGCUAGGUGUUGGUGGUCUCGACCCCACCAGUGCCGNAGCUAACGCAUUAAGCGCUC